This 672-nucleotide ribosomal RNA is filed under the name Halobacterium sp. RNAcentral describes it as "bacterial SSU rRNA". It matches the Rfam family "Archaeal small subunit ribosomal RNA", at positions 90 to 761 of the family's 1478-position model. Lineage: Archaea; Methanobacteriati; Methanobacteriota; Halobacteria; Halobacteriales; Halobacteriaceae. The record is from RNAcentral.
UCAGUAACACGUGGCCAAACUACCCUGUGGAUGGGAAUAAUCUCGGGAAACUGAGGCUAAUUCCCAAUAAUGCUCCACCCCUGGAAUGGGUGGAGCUGGAAACGCUACGGCGCCACAGGAUGUGGCUGCGGUCGAUUAGGUAGACGGUGGGGUAACGGCCCACCGUGCCAAUAAUCGGUACGGGUUGUGAGAGCAAGAGCCCGGAGACGGAAUCUGAGACAAGAUUCCGGGCCCUACGGGGCGCAGCAGGCGCGAAACCUUUACACUGUACGCAAGUGCGAUAAGGGGACUCCGAGUGUGAAGGCAUAGAGCCUUCACUUUUGUACACCGUAAGGUGGUGCACGAAUAAGGGCUGGGCAAGACCGGUGCCAGCCGCCGCGGUAAUACCGGCAGCCCGAGUGAUGGCCGAUAUUAUUGGGCCUAAAGCGUCCGUAGCUGGCCGGACAAGUCCGUUGGGAAAUCUGUCCGCUUAACGGGCAGGCGUCCAGCGGAAACUGUUCGGCUUGGGACCGGAAGACCUGAGGGGUACGUCCGGGGUAGGAGUGAAAUCCUGUAAUCCUGGACGGACCACCGGUGGCGAAAGCGCCUCAGGAGGACGGAUCCGACAGUGAGGGACGAAAGCUAGGGUCUCGAACCGGAUUAGAUACCCGGGUAGUCCUAGCUGUAAACGAU